GCCAGGCGUGGUGGUGCAUGCCUGUAAUCCCAGCUACUCAGGAGGCUGAGGCAGGAGAAUCACUUGAACCCGGGAGGCAGAGGCUGUAGUGAGCCAAGAUCGUGCCACUGCACUGUCAGCCUGGGCUACAGAGUGAGAUUCUGUCUCAA
This is a non-coding RNA of Gorilla gorilla gorilla (western lowland gorilla), 149 nucleotides long. It matches the Rfam family "Metazoan signal recognition particle RNA". Rfam says of the family: The signal recognition particle (SRP) is a universally conserved ribonucleoprotein. The record is from Rfam. Lineage: Eukaryota; Metazoa; Chordata; Mammalia; Primates; Hominidae.